RNA transcript from Dermacentor albipictus, 8778 nucleotides. RefSeq lists it as uncharacterized. The record is from RefSeq and is a predicted model, not a curated record. NCBI's taxonomy places the organism in Eukaryota, Metazoa, Arthropoda, Arachnida, Ixodida, Ixodidae.
UGUAUACACGUACAGGAAGCUUCAGAUACUCCAUUGGUGCUUGCGGGAGAGCCGCCGCGCCAGGGUGAAGAAUUCGCGGCUUGUGUCUGCACCUGAAGAUUAUGCCUUGGCUCUUACAACGUGCGGUUUUCUGCUCACCGUUACAUACACCGAAGAGUUAUGGUGGUAGUUGGAGGGAGGGAAGUUAAAUGAUCAUUUAUUAUUUCAAAGGAAUGGGCUCUUGUUUCAGCUAUUGCUGUAAAGAGCAAAACAAGCGAGUUAGGCAUGUCAAACCGGCCGGUUACUUCGAUACGUCGAGCCUCAUCGAAUUCGAAACACUUAUUGAUGAGCAGUCAUCUAGCGAGCCUAAAAGUUUGCAAAGCCUGGAGCUUCCUGUGGCCAAAUUUCAUGCACCAGAUGAAAGUUGCUGCAACUGCACUUCGGAGUUGCAGCUUUAUCACUUGAAUGUUGAAGAACUGUCUGCAUCAGAUGAUGAUCUUUUGUCCUUGUCUGGCUUGAGUGACAAUGAUGAAAGCAUCAUUAUUAAGAAGCUGGCCUUUCACCAAGAGGAUGCCUUGGAACUGGAAGAAGAGGCCAAAGCACAGCCAGACACUGUCGAGGCACCUCCAAUUUCUGUAGGCCAAAGGGUUGUCAUGCGAUCAAACCUUGCCAAGGAGGACAACUGGACAGGCGCAGAUCACAAUGCUUGGGCACUUGCGGGGGAGGAGGAAAUCCUGAAUACUGCAAAGCUGCGGUGCCAAGGACACCUACCCAACUGCCCUCAAUUUCAGACAAAGGCAUGGGACAAGGAGCGAGAGCGACUGAACAGCAGCCCCCACUCUUCACUUGACUUAGAGUGGGAGAAUGAAGUUGGGUUAACACCACCACAGCGAUGUGCAUCUGCUACCGAUGAUGACUUCGUGUAUGUCCCUGGUGUGGACACCUGUAGCAACCACUCAACUCCUCUGUCAAAUGAAAAUGACCUUGAAUGGGAUGGUGACCUUUCAAGUGUCCAGAUUGGAGGCUUUGACAUGGAAACAGAACAGCUGAUCUCAGAAAUUGAACAGAUGACUGUAGAUGCCCUGAAAGAACCCUCAGGUGCUUCCAGAUGACCAUCUGUGCACCAUCUAGACAGGUGCACCUGUUGAGGACUGUCUACUAUAUUUUUCUUGUGUACUGUUGGCCUUUUCAGUAUAUCACCCUAAAGCCCCCAUUGCCCACAACGUUUCAUACAGUGUACUCUGAGAAAAAGUCACAGAUCAAGCGAAGUAAAGAAAAAAAGGUUAAUACUUGUUGGGUCUAAUAGACCUGGAAUACACUGAGGUGUUAAGGAUCUUACUGUGAUGUGCUUUACUUUUUAUAUAUUCAAAAGGAGUCUAUCUGUUAAGACAGUAUGCAGCCAUAUUUUCCAGAACAUUUCCCUGUAUGCAAGGUAUUAAGUACUGGGGCAUAAUGGCACAUGAAUAAAAUGGUGUGCCUAUCUGUACUGCUCCCAGAGCAUUCCACUUAGCAAUUUCCUCCACGGUUGUUCCAUUAUAACCAUGUCUUGUGUCAUAGUGAAACCAUAAAGCCACUUCCUAGCUACCAAACCCACGCAUUGCAAUUUCCUUGUGUGGCCAGGGUUCACCUGGUACAAGGCUCAACAUUGCAAGGCUUGAGGCACAUGGUUCUUUUGAUAUUCAACAGUACCUUUCAAAAUUUUCAGGUGACAUAACCAUUGUAUUUUUUUUUUUCAGAAAAAUAUUUUUCGUUUUUUUUUUUUUUUUUUGCCGGUAGCAGCCCAUCUUUCAGUACUCGGAGAAAGUUGCCAUUGGGGAAUUAAGUAAAUUCUGGCACUGCAUGCCUACACAUUGCAUCUGCAGCAAAAGUGCAUUGCUCCAUUUGUGAACAUUGGACCUCAACCAUCUAGCAUUCUCUGCUGCAUAAAUUUGCUAGGGUCAGUUUUCCAACUUCCAUCUUCUUGCUGUACCACUGAACAGUAAAAGUAAAAGGCUUAGAAGGCAAACACAAAGGCAAGGUGUAUGAGUACCUGCUGUGCAGUGCACACACAAGUGUUACUUCGUGAGAUAAAAAAGAAACUUUCUGCCAAAAAAAGGAAAAAAGCAUAGCAGGCAAGUUGUUAGCACUUUUUGCUCCGAGAACUUAAACGGGUGGUUACUGCAAAAGUUGUGAUACAGCAGGGUAUACAUACAUUAGCCAGCUGCAACAGUUAAAUGUAAUAUUUGCAAUUCUCUAAAACCUGACCUGUUGGGUGUAUGGGUGCUAGAGGUAUGAUUACAGUGUAUAAGAUGGUGCAGUCAUCUUCUGGCACGACUUCAGCUUGUCUUCUUGCACGGCUUCAGCACUGGUGGGAGUUGACUCUGCACUCAAAGUACCAGAGCCCUUUGUAAUUUCUGGUUUCUGACAAAAAGGUUGGUGAUUAGAUGUUGGUGCUUUAGUGUUGCCAUAUUUAGUACACUAGAAUAUGUUGAUGUUUUUAUUUUUAAGUUACAAGAACUUACAAAUUGAAAAGAAUGUUUUAACUCAUAUGCAAGUCAACUGACACAUACAAUGACAACCCAUUCUUGUCUUUCGGUGUUGUGAAGGGAAGAGAGGUAAACAUCUAUUAGGGUUGAUGUAUGUACGCUUGUAAUUUCCGCAGAUGCAUACCUGUAGUAGUGCCAUGGCAACUGCCAUACUGGGCUUCUCUCAUCACCAUGUAGCAGCAUUACUAAGGCCACAGUCCUGCUACAUAGUAAUAGACCAUUCUGGGCCCCUUCGAGACCGUUGUGUAGGGAGAAACAUUUCCACUACUACUUCUCUUAGCUUUAUGAAGGUCAACAGUCUACUCAUACGAGUGUGAAAAUCAAAUUAGACAAGUUUACUUCAGUGUAUGUAAAACUAGUAGCUUGUAACUUGAAAUAAUCUAAAUCUUUGCCUUCUUAUCACCUAUCAUAGCAGUUUAUUGAAGUGUAGUGAAUUGGGCUUGAGAGGGCUUUGAAAUUGUGGCACUUAACUGUCAUAAAAAAAAUUUUUGUCUGAACUUUUGCUCAUGCGUUUAAAGGGACACUAAGGGAAAAUAUUAAGUCCAGCUGCAUUGAAAGAUUCGGCGUCUGUAAUAAUGAAUUCAUCAUUCAUAAUGAAAACAGAGCUUUUUGUAAGUGAGAAAAUAACAGAGAUGGAAAAUGGGAGCACCGCCACCUGCUGUGGACAGUAGUACCGCUCAUGUUUGAGAUCGGCGCUGCUGAUUCACAGAGAGUGGCUGCUAUGUCCCGCCAAUGCCCACUGGAAGUGGCAUCAAUUUUUUUUUUUUUUUGUAACCCUUGGCCGAAACCUAGGUGGGGUCCAGCCCACCCCACCAAAUCGCAGGGCACUCAAAGUUAUUUGAAAGAAUGAACCGCCACCCCUGAGACAGCAGCCACCCACUCUGGCUCUUAGGCUCAAGUAACUGUAUCCGGCAUCCUGUACACAAGAUCCACAGAGUGAUUCAUGCAAGCAGAACACCUGCAGUCACCAAGCAGUAUAUGCUUUGUAUAUAGAGCUAAAUAUAUAAUUUCUAAAUGACAACAGUGGCAUAGAGGGAGGCCACAUAUAGAUUACAUCAACUACGCCACUUUGCCGUGGGCUGUUCAAAUUUAGGAGCAGCAGCGGGACCUGCGGCGGCAGUUUUCUACACAACAAAUUUAUAUAUGGGUGCACAAAACACAAUGAUAGACUUCUGGACAAAUACUUUAUCAAUCUAGCCCAACUUGAUAUUUUCCUUAAAUGACCUUAUAACAUUCAAGUUCUUAAAAUGCCGCUGAUCUAGGUGUCCCUUGUGAAAAAAAAUCAGAUGUACGUAUUUUUAAAGUUGCUCAUCUGUAUAUAUGUUUUAAUGUUCCUUCUCAGAAAUUAUUCCAACUUACCAGGUGUUCCCUUUUAUGCGAAACACUUUCUUCUUCUUCUUUUCUUUCUUUUCUUCAAGAAGCAGUUUCAUCUAGACCCCUGCCAUUUUUGCAGAUAGCAGACAUUACCAGCAAGAAAUGUUCUCCCAUAAUUUUGUGAAUUAUCAAAAAUGUGCUAAUUAACUUUUUGACUACUCACUUUAGAACACAUGGUAUUGUGAAAUUGAAGCCAAAGAGUAGUGAAGUCAUUUCUGCAUAGCAGAAAUCCUAUAACUAGCGCCACUUUUGAGAUCUAUGACCUUAAACUGUGCUACGAAAUACAUGGGCAUUGCAGUUAAGUUUCCUAAAAGCGUGUCUCCAAAAGUUGGAAUGAUCUUACCUGGAACGCCGAGCAUUCUUUAGCAGAUUUUGUGGACGGAUCUCACAAAAGUAGUGAUGGCUUUAAGAUUUCUGCUUAGCAGGCAUGACUUCGCUAUUCCUUUGCUUCAAUUUUGCAAAUAUGUGUGCCCUAAAAUGAGUAAUUAAAAACUUAAUUAGCACAGUUUAGGUAAUUAGCAAGAUUAUUGUCAGUUUUUUUUAAUGCUAAUGUCUGCCUAGUCACGUAGCAUGUAUGAAGUAACGGCAGGGGCCUAGAUGCGACAGUUUCUUUUAAAAUAAAGUGUUCUGUAUAAAAAAAUGCCUGGUAAUGUUGGUUUGUGUUUGUGGAACUCUACACUAGCCAUUAUGAGAAAAAACUUCUCAACCACUCCAAAUGUAUCAAGAAUAUUGCCUCGUUUUAUACUCUUUGUGUUUUCACUAACUAUUGUGUGAAUCCCUAACAUGUAGUUAUAUCUAUCCCAUUCUUGGUUUCUUAUAUGUUGAAUGUAGAUUAUGACACUCAAUUAGACACAAGAGCACAGUUUAAAGGGCCCCUCACCAGGCCGCGUAGCAAGCAAAUUUUGGUUAUCUGCUGGAAGUUGUUACGUGCCCUCUAGGGAGCAUUCUACCACAGUAAUUUUUCAUAUUUGUUCAUUAACAGACAAGAUAAAAUCAAGUGCCAUGAACCCAUGAUUUCAGGAGGCGAGCGUCACCACCAACAUAGACACUCUCUCCACUUGCCCCAAUCUAGCUUCCGCAAGCAAAAUUCCUUCCCUGUGUUCUCCCAUACUGGAGCUGGAGGAUCACGCGUGACACAUACAUCAGGGGCCACAGCCUCCUUUUUUCACUUUUUGGCUGCACGGUGCACUUCUGGUAACGGUCGUGCACAUGAGCUAUUGCUUGACGGUCGUGCACAUGUCUUGUUUCGCACAGCGUACAAUUUUGCACACUGUGGAUGAGAACUCCUGAUUAGCGGUGCUACACAACACACAACACUGAGGCAGACACAAGUAGAUCACAGAGCAUGAUCAUACAUUGGAACACUGUAGAAAAUGGCAUAGUUUCAUUGUCUACAUGCGCGACUGCACGACAUGGGAAUAAGCAGACGAAACGGAAGUACAUCUCUCUUGCUGCAGUACAAAAGUAAAACAAAGACACGCAGACAUUCGGUUCGUAGGUUUUAUUAUUGCUCCGAACUUUAAUUUGCCUCUUGAAGCAUGAGAUCAAACAAGUAACUGCUGUUGCCUUGAAUAAUUCUCAAAGUCGCGUGUCACUGUGAGUGACGUCGACUGUCCAGGUGGGGGUGCGGCGCAUGCAAGGAGAAGGGCACAGGGCAUUUGGCAUGUAAUGGUGUAAUACUUUGCAGGCACGAUCGUUACUGCGCAUUGUAUGCACUGCAUUUGUCAGUACAAAAUGGCAGGCCUAAUGAGGGGCCCUUUAACAUGGGAGCUGCUGAGAAUGUUCCAUGCAAGAUCAUGUUAUUCUUUUCAUUACCCUAAAAUAGAACAUGAAUGAUAUUUAUGUAUGGACACUUUGCCAUAUACAGUUUGUUGCAACUAAAGUUGGGUGGCGCCACUCUGCACUUUCAUCCAUGGGUGGCCUUGUGUGAAGCCAAAAUGCAUUGCUAGCAACAGCCAUGUGCAGUGUGCAUACCACUGUCAGAAAGUCCAGCACGGCACAUUUACUAAGAAAGUAUGCCAGGAUGAAAAAAUUAAAGUGCACCAUCAUUGGGUGUUAAAACACUGUUUGGGUUCCAUCAGGGUGCAGAGCUUGUCUGUGUGUGGACACAAGCCUUUUCAGCAUUUAGACUAGCACUUAAGCUUAUGCACUAAAUUGCACAAUUGCAAACAAGAAGAAAAACAACUUGGAAUCAACUGAACCACCAAUUGUAUCAGUUAAGUACUAUGAACUACAUAGCAAAACAUGAUAAAUGUUACACAUUAGAAUGGAAAAGCAGUACAUAGAACAAGUGGCAGUACUCAGAAAUGCAGUUGCUUUUAAACCAUUUAGCUAAUUAGUCGUAGCUGUUAACCAGAUUAUGAUGCUUGCUAAUUUUUUUCAAACUGUCAAGUUUGUAGUUUCAUUUAUACAGCUCUGAGAGUGACAUUUGAGAGUGCGCCGUAUUGUAUGUGCACAUUGUAGCAUACAAGUUUCUGAAAGAACCUUCACAGCUUUCUUGGUUAGCCACAAUAUCAGUGCAGUAUGAAGAGAUGGCAGACGAGACAGUCAAGCACGAAGCAAAGCUGAUUGGAUGGAAGCACAUGCACUAGCAUCACGGGAAACGCUCCAGAAGUGAAAGAUGUGGUCAAAUUAUUGUUUAUACCUCGCUACAUGGAUCCGAGCUGCGUAGGUACAUUCCUUGAUGGGAAAGCAACGCGCAUCAGGCUCCUUAGUCAGCCAUGAAAUUACAAAUGUUUCAACUGUUGCAUGUUUUGUGCGUGAUCAAUUUUGGACUGUACCCUUUCACGCUCGGCCAACUUCCAAAACUUGCUGUUCUCCAACCAGCCUUUCAAAACACAAGGCCACCCAUGCUGGCAGGCCCAUAUGACCAAAUAUAAGAGUCCCAUGCUGUGGCAAUGCAAGGCGUCUGUAGUAGUUGGUGCUCCAAAAAACGUAUUUUCAAUCAACUACAAGUGUAGUGACAUACCUGACUCAUACUUAGUUUAUGCUGUACUAGCAGUAUUCUUUUCUUUUGCCGUUCAUGAUGUGAACAGUACCAGGAUUGGCAAGAAUGGUGAUCAACUGCCUUGUACAAAUUACUGGAACAAUGUAGCUAGAUUCUGCAUUUAAAUUUAUUCUUUAUGCAUGCUGGCACUCCUCUCCACAAACAUAACUGUGCCUGCCCUUGUACACACAGCAGCACUUAAGUUGUGCUGCUCAAAAUUUCGUUUAUAAAUAAGUUUUACAAUAUUUUCUUUUUAAUUUGUUUUUCUUUUGCUACUUAUCAAUGCAGCAUACAUUGAAGGCUCCGACUUACGGGUUACCAUUCUGUAGUCUCUGAAAUAUGCAUAGUCUGUUUUUUAAUACAGCCUUAUUCCAAGCUUCAGCAUUUGACAUAAAAUGCAUCUUGAAGGUAGUGUAAUAUAUGCUAGCCCUUGAAUUGAGAAUUUUUGAAAGUAUAAGAAACAUAGUCUAGACCCUUGCUCCAGUAUUUCAUUCUGUUGAUUGUAGCCCCUAAUACAUGCGUGUGGUGUUGGGACUGCUUUGCUAUGCAAGCUUCUACUGUGCCACUCUUAUACAGACAGUACCCAGCUUAUUGCAAAGCAAUUGCCAUAUUCGACAAAACAGCAAUAUCUGGUUUCAUUGAUCCGACGAAGAAAUUAGUGAACAAAUACUUAAGUGGCCAGAAUAUUCACGAAUACAUUUUGUCACACUAACAGGGCAGCUGAGCUGAAUUUUACUAUGGUCUUUCCUCCAUGAACUUAACUAUAACAACAAACAUGAAGGAUGCACGUCCUAUCGGAAAUGUUAGGGCCAGGAAAAGGUUUUACAUUAUUUUGUACACUUCUCUUGGUAGUGCAUUCUGUUCUAGCUAAAAAAGUGUGUGGCACUUAGCUUUUCUGGCCAUGCAAGUCUAAUGAAUGCUGUCAGAUAAGAAACACACGUGACGCUGAAUGGUUUCUGCUUUCUCUGUUAGCAUCCCUAAAGCACUUGGCAUAAUGGCCAUGGUUGUGGCUUCCAGCUUCAAGGACAAGCUUCUUCAAAAGCGUGGCAUCUGUUAUUGUUUUCAUUAUAACUAAAUAAAUUUUGAUUUCAAUGUUGCAAACUGCGAGAACACCCGCGUACUUAGGUUUAGGUGCAAGGUAAAUUAUUUAAAGUUAAAGAUUUAGGUGGUCCAAAUUAUUCCGGAGUACCCCAGUACGGCGUGCCUCAAUCAAAUCGUGGUUUUGGAAAGUAAAACCUUAUAAUUGUGAUUUCAAAGUGUGGUAGCAGUAUUUUUUUUUUUCCUUUCAUUUUACUCUUGCUCUUAAUAACAUGUUUGGUUCAUAUUGUCUUUCGGAAUUGUAGUCACAUGAAGUAAUUUUUUGUAGGUUUCUUUUCCAUAGCGCAGUUUCCCUCUCUCAGUCUUUGUUUCCCUUUUUAGAAAAUUUACUACAGUCCUGUUACCAUUAUGUUAGCCAUAACUGCAGUAAAGGAGCCCUGAACCACCCCUCGAGCUUGGUGAAAUAAUAUAGUCUGCGGGUAGCAUACGCUGCUGUGAACAUUUCAGCAGUUUUGCUGUCGUACGCGGUGCGUGUAGCUCGCAAGUGGAUCACAAGGUCUCCUUUUUCUCAAACUCUGUCUUUUCAACCGAAGGCCCUGUCCUCACUAUCUUAUAGAUGCACUAUUUCAUCAUUGGAUGCACUAUUUCGUACGCACUCUCAUCGGAUGCACUACCAAGGCGGAAAUCGUGGCGUCUACGUUACCAUCCAAAAUGAAAUUUGAACAGUCCGCCACGGUGACAUUUGGAAGGUGGAGUGUUGUGGGCAUGCCCCACUACGCCGUACCUUUCGCAAUGCAAGACAUUGAAGAAGGAACGAGAGCACAGAGGAGGCAGUGUUUGAUUGCCAAUGACUCCGCUUCUGCUGAAUGCAUUGGA